This is a long non-coding RNA of Dromaius novaehollandiae (emu), 507 nucleotides long. RefSeq lists it as uncharacterized. Lineage: Eukaryota; Metazoa; Chordata; Aves; Casuariiformes; Dromaiidae. The record is from RefSeq and is a predicted model, not a curated record. The transcript is spliced from 2 exons.
GCUGGCAAUGCCCCGAGGGGGGAAAUCAGCCGUCUUGGGACCGAGUGGAAGGCACUCGACUACAAACGAGGAAAGAACGGGGAAAAGUCGAGGCAAAAUUAGCCAGACAAGAUGCAGCAUGUCGCAGCCUCUCCUGCCCGACACGCUGAACUUUCGGAAGCAGCCGAGGAGCUGGAGCCGCCCCGCAGCUGCAGGGACGUUGCUGUUGGGGCUUCGUGUUUAUUUAUUUUCCAAAGGAAGAGGAGGAGGAGGAGACUGAACACCAGUAAAUUCCUGGGGCAACCUGAGAUCAAACUGCUGCUUGUUAAGGGAAAGCAGAAGACGAGUCAGACUGCCUAGCAUACCUCCUGUGUCCAGGUCCCGAUCCAUCACCCAUCCGGCUCCAUGGAAAUUCCUCUAUCGCGGCCUGGGAGCAUCGGAUGGGUCCCAGUGAGCUCUGGGGCUGCCGGUCUUUGCAAAUUUGGGAGAGUCAGCUCCUGCCAUAUGAUUAAAGCCGCUUAAACCAAA